Gossypium arboreum is the source of this 135-nucleotide non-coding RNA. The record is from Rfam. Lineage: Eukaryota; Viridiplantae; Streptophyta; Magnoliopsida; Malvales; Malvaceae.
CAUUAAAAAAUUAUCUAUUUUUACUGUUAAAAAUUGCUGGAGUUAACUAAACAACCAAACACUUAUGCCACAUAUACCCGAUGCUAAUGUAUAUGGAUCAAUUUUUAACUGUAAAAAUAGAUAAAUUUAUUAAUA